Molecule: long non-coding RNA, 254 nt
Organism: Haliotis rubra (blacklip abalone)
Lineage: Eukaryota; Metazoa; Mollusca; Gastropoda; Lepetellida; Haliotidae
Exons: 4
Source: RefSeq, a predicted model, not a curated record
AUACAUACUUCACACACACACAGUCAAACACUACCAUCAAUACAUACUUCACACACACACAGGUUCAGUCAAACACUACCAUCAAUACAUACUUCACACACACAGGUUCAGUCAAACACUACCAUCAAUAUUAUACAUACUUCACACACACACACACACACACACACACACACAGAGGUUCAUUACAUAUUCAUAUCACACCUAUAUGUUUUCACCAUACUUCUGUGUUCUGUUUAACACACUGUUGUAAACUU